Molecule: ribosomal RNA, 230 nt
Filed under: uncultured bacterium
Lineage: Bacteria
Description: partial 16S ribosomal RNA
Rfam family: Bacterial small subunit ribosomal RNA (bases 1-190)
Source: RNAcentral
UGAGCAAUCUGCCCUUCUCUUCGGAAUAAGCGUUGGAAACGACGUCUAAUGCCGAAUACGACCUCCUUUCGCAUGAUCGGAGGUGGAAAGCUCCGGCGGAGAAGGAUGAGCUCGCGGCCUAUCAGCUAGUUGGUGUGGGUAACGCUCACCAAGGCAACGAUGCGUAGCCGACUGAGGAGGGUGACGUCCGGACCACUAGUUGGAACUGGAGACCGACCGGUACCAGACCC